UAAACUAGAAGUUUCACUGUCUGACAGAUGUAUUGUGGUUGUGACAAUUCUUUUAUCAUUUAAUACUGAACACUAAACUAAAACGUAUGACUCAUUACAUUUUCUUUGGCUGAUUCAUGACAUUCACAAAAGAAAAUGUAACUUAUAAAACCUAAUUAUGAAACAAAACAUGAUUAAUGAAGAAUUCCAGUGAGUUAACACACACUUAUUCAUCUUCAAUACAGGAGAAGCUGCUGAAAGGAGAAGGCAAGAGUAUCUAGAAAGGUUGGAUAAGGGGCAUCUUAAAUGGAGGAGACAGGGUAAGAACAACUCAUUUUUUCUUGAACCGUUAUAACUGCAGUAAACUAGAAGUUUCACUGUCUGACAGAUGUAUUGUGGUUGUAACAAUUCUCUGAUCUCAACAAUUUCUGAGGUCCAUAAAACAUCCACCAAGGACCUGGAAACUCUCAAUAUAUUUAAUGGAAAUAUGACAAUAAUUAGUUAAUUUUUUAGUGUAAAAUCACAAAAAAAGAAAGAAGACAAUUACAGAAAGAGAAAAUAAUAACAACAUACAUUAUAUUAAAGAUACAUGAUACUAUUCAGUUAUAGGAGUGGCAAAAAUUGGAUUCAAGAAGUGAAGCGUCGACCAUGAACCACAACGUCCCUGAUUCAUGUUUGAUUAGGGACCUUUAUUGAUUGUUGUUCUCCAUCUCUCUCUAAAUGUAAAUGAAAUUACAGGACUUCUUUAUCUCUUGUGCUUAGUGGCAACAUCAGAAGACAACUUCCUAAUCAGAGCUGAAAAUGUAAAGUAGAGGUUCAUUGAUAAACACACUGAAAGGCACC
Thunnus maccoyii (southern bluefin tuna) is the source of this 822-nucleotide long non-coding RNA. RefSeq lists it as uncharacterized. The transcript is spliced from 3 exons. The record is from RefSeq and is a predicted model, not a curated record. Lineage: Eukaryota; Metazoa; Chordata; Actinopteri; Scombriformes; Scombridae.